GUCAGAUACUAAUAUGGCCACCCAAGCUUUCUUUUGAUUCAUUUUAGCAAGAUAUAUCUUUUUCUGUACUUUUAUUCUUAACAUGUUUGUGUCAUUAUAUUUAAUAUAAUGAGUUUCUUCUUUUUCCCUAUGGUUUCAGAUAGUGUUUCAUAAAAUGAGUUUCUUGGCCACGUGUGGUGGCUCACACCUGUAAUCCCAUUACUUUGGGAGGCAGAAGCAGGAGGAUCACAUGAGCCCAGGAGUUCAAGAUCAUCCUGAGCAGCAUGGCGAGACCUCGUCUCUGCAAAACUAAAUUAGCCGGGAUGCAAAUGUUAGUUUUAAAGGAGACAUUAAAUUGAGUCUUCCAGUUUACAUAAUGAAGAUCAAACCACCUAAGCCUGUUACAGGCACCACAUUCAAAAGCCCCCUGGAAGUCUUUGCAAAGAUCAAGGACUGCUACGGACUGGGCUCCGGGCAGAAUCAUUUCAUCAAGGACAGUCAGUGGGAGCAGCAAGCUGAGAUCUUCAACGCUUCCUACAAGAAGUACCUAGAUAAGGAGUGGGAGGAGGAGCCACUCAGUACGGCCACCUUCUAUUUCCUUCUUCCUAGCUGCCUAUUUGCAAUGCCAACGGAAGUCAAGGGCCCCUCAGGAAUGGCCUGUGUCCUUGGUAUACACUGGACCAGAAGUCACAAUUUCUUCCUGUAUUCACUAAACCGAACUCUAAAGGAUAAAGCUGACCCCGAGGGUGUGUGGCCCUGUGCUGCGCCCAUUGCAGUCUCUCAGCUCAGCUGCUCCUCCUCCUACCUGGUGCUGGCCUGCGAGGAUGGUGUGCUCACGCUGUGGGACCUGGCCAAAGGAUUCCCUCUUGGGGUCGCUGCUCUUCCUCAGGGAUGUUUCUGCCAAAGCAUUCACUUCCUAAAAUAUUUCUUGGUCCACAAAGGACAGAAUAUGUAUCCUGAAGGUCCAGUGAAAUCCCAAAUGAAAUGUGUGGUGCUGUGCACAGACGCCUCCCUCCAUCUGGUGGAGGCUAGCGGGACCCAAGGACCCACCAUCAGUGUGCUUGUUGAGAGGCCUGUAAAGCACCUGGAUAAAACCAUCUGUGCCGUGGCCCCAGUCCCAGCCUUACCUGGCAUGGUGCUCAUCUUUUCCAAGAAUGGCUCUGUGUGCCUUAUGGAUGUGGCCAAGCGUGAAAUCAUCUGUGCCUUUGCCCCUCCGGGAGCCUUUCCUCUGGAGGUCCCCUGGAAGCCAGUGUUUGCUGUGUCUCCAGACCAUCCAUGUUUCCUGCUCCGAGGAGACUAUUCACAUGAAACUGCGUCCACCGACGAUGCUGGAAUCCAAUAUUCUGUUUUCUAUUUUAAUUUUGAGGCCUGCCCACUCCUGGAAAAUAUCUCAAAAAAUUGCACCAUUCCUCAAAGGGACUUGGAUAACAUGGCCUUCCCCCAAGCACUGCCACUGGAGAAAAGAUGUGAGCGUUUCCUCCAGAAGAGCUAUCGGAAGCUGGAGAAGAACCCAGAGAAGGAGGAGGAGCACUGGGCCCGGCUUCAGAGGUACUCCUUGUCGCUCCAGAGAGAGAACUUCAAGAAGUGAGGCUGCCACCGCCCCGGGAUCUUUGAAAAGGAGGUUUCAGCCACGAGGCAGCUGCUCCCAGGACACUGAGGCCAAGAGAAAUGUAACAGAGCCACAGCUCCACAGGCCUGCACUCGGAGUCUGGGGCCUCUGCAGAGCCAGCAAGGGGAAAAGUAUAAUCUGGGGGACCUUCAACCACUAAGCCUCUUGUCAGAGCCCUCAGGCAGGCAGAUGUGUCACCCAAAUAAACAGUGAUAUUGUCUCCAG
RNAcentral lists this small RNA (1813 nucleotides) under Pan troglodytes (chimpanzee). RNAcentral describes it as "processed transcript". The record is from RNAcentral. Lineage: Eukaryota; Metazoa; Chordata; Mammalia; Primates; Hominidae.